RNAcentral lists this ribosomal RNA (397 nucleotides) under uncultured Streptococcus sp. RNAcentral's name for it is "bacterial SSU rRNA". It matches the Rfam family "Bacterial small subunit ribosomal RNA", at positions 983 to 1382 of the family's 1533-position model. Lineage: Bacteria; Bacillati; Bacillota; Bacilli; Lactobacillales; Streptococcaceae. The record is from RNAcentral.
GACAUCCCGAUGCUAUUUCUAGAGAUAGAAAGUUACUUCGGUACAUCGGUGACAGGUGGUGCAUGGUUGUCGUCAGCUCGUGUCGUGAGAUGUUGGGUUAAGUCCCGCAACGAGCGCAACCCCUAUUGUUAGUUGCCAUCAUUCAGUUGGGCACUCUAGCGAGACUGCCGGUAAUAAACCGGAGGAAGUGGGGAUGACGUCAAAUCAUCAUGCCCCUUAUGACCUGGGCUACACACGUGCUACAAUGGUUGGUACAACGAGUUGCGAGUCGGUGACGGCGAGCUAAUCUCUUAAAGCCAAUCUCAGUUCGGAUUGUAGGCUGCAACUCGCCUACAUGAAGUCGGAAUCGCUAGUAAUCGCGGAUCAGCACGCCGCGGUGAAUACGUUCCCGGGCCUU